UACAGAGGGGGCAAGCGUUGUUCGGAGUUACUGGGCGUAAAGGGCGCGUAGGCGGCCUUCUAAGUCGAACGUGAAAUCCCCGGGCUCAACCCGGGAACUGCGUCCGAUACUGGAAGGCUUGAAUCCGGGAGAGGGAUGCGGAAUUCCAGGUGUAGCGGUGAAAUGCGUAGAUAUCUGGAGGAACACCGGUGGCGAAGGCGGCAUCCUGGACCGGCAUUGACGCUGAGGCGCGAAAGCCAGGGGAGCAAACGGG
Molecule: ribosomal RNA, 253 nt
Filed under: uncultured bacterium
Lineage: Bacteria
Description: partial 16S ribosomal RNA
Rfam family: Bacterial small subunit ribosomal RNA
Source: RNAcentral